Molecule: long non-coding RNA, 448 nt
Organism: Apis florea (little honeybee)
Lineage: Eukaryota; Metazoa; Arthropoda; Insecta; Hymenoptera; Apidae
Source: RefSeq, a predicted model, not a curated record
GAAAAGGGCGGACAGUGGCAAUCUUGAUUAUUCCAAGUGAUAAUUAAGGCCGCGUCUUAUUAUUGUUAUCCAUCCGUUCGUUUGAAAUGAUCCACGUUGAAAAAGUUGCGCACAUAAAAUUUUGAAAUUUAUCGAGAGAAUUAUCCGUAUAUAUAUUGAACGGUAAACGAUACAACGAAUCGAUACAACGAUGCACAGAUAUCUCAUUAACGGUCAAACGAAAUUUUACAAAGGUGAUGGAAUAUUCGCAUCUCAUUGGUAGAUGAUAGGUAUAAUUAUAACUUUAUUUCGAUUUGGAUAGGGGCAGCCAUCCCCUCCGUAGUUUAAAAUUUAAUCCGAUAUUGCGGGCGCGCAAGAUGAAUGGGAAGAUAAUUUUAAUCGAUAGCAAUGACACGUGUAAUCAUGAUCAUCGAUAUUACUCGUAUAAAUGGAAAUGCAUUACUCGAGG